Long non-coding RNA from Mercenaria mercenaria, 860 nucleotides. RefSeq lists it as uncharacterized. Lineage: Eukaryota; Metazoa; Mollusca; Bivalvia; Venerida; Veneridae. The transcript has 3 exons. The record is from RefSeq and is a predicted model, not a curated record.
AAAUAUCUACGUAAUUUCAGAUUCCAACAGUACCGGCAUUCCACAGGCAAGUGAAUAUGAGAAAAUAAAAUCAAUUCAAGCUCCAGAACACGAAUAUGGACAUAUAUCAUCUGCUGUUUGAACUUCAUGUAUCAGAAGCUAGAAACUGCAGACUACGAAAUAUAGCAACUUCUCUGAAUAUGAUAUAGAGUUACUGUGUAUACCUUUUAGUUAAAAUUAGUAGGACAGAGAUGGACACUUCUUGUAAUGUGUAUUUAUAUAGAAUACUAAUUUGUAAUGAUCAUUUACAGAGGAUAUAUAUACUAACACAAUCGCAGUGUUACCUACACUUCUCGUAUGUUAUGGAACUUCUCGUCAAGUUUAGGGAAGUUGAUUCGUUGGCUCAUUUUUAAAGCCUCUCCUACAUUUCGCAAACUGACCAAUUUAUCCCCUUAAUAUGACAGUGUAAUCAGUAUUUAAUGCUUUAUUUGUAUAUCAUUUCUUCUUGAUUGUGUUAUAAAAUGCCUUUAUUGUAUCAAAAGUAAAAAUGUUUAAACAUUUAGCCAUUUCAUUUUAAAACACUAAGAAUGUUAUACAUUUAAAAUGUAAUUUACUAUAUGUUUUUCAACAAUAUAAUCUCGCAAGUAAAUGCAUUUUAUUCAUAAAUUGCGUAAGUAAUAUAAAAAUAGACUCCUACAAUUGAGCAGACGAAUAUAUUGAAAACGCAGACAAGCGAGGGUGAUAUUGAAUACAUAUUUUGCCAACAUGAGAAAAGUUUUAAGACGCAAGGCAAUAACUUAUAUUUAACAAACUCAAAGUUAAGCCUUUAUUUUCCCGUAAGUAACAUAAGCAUUUGUAUCAAAUUCUUUAUAUGUGCUACA